RNAcentral lists this ribosomal RNA (116 nucleotides) under Cronobacter sakazakii. RNAcentral's name for it is "partial 23S ribosomal RNA". It matches the Rfam family "Bacterial large subunit ribosomal RNA", at positions 2799 to 2925 of the family's 2925-position model. The record is from RNAcentral. RNAcentral also lists the same sequence under 1 other name. Lineage: Bacteria; Pseudomonadati; Pseudomonadota; Gammaproteobacteria; Enterobacterales; Enterobacteriaceae.
CUGAGACUAUAAGUCUCCUGAAGGAACGUUGAAGACGACGACGUUGAUAGGCCGGGUGUGUAAGCGCAGCGAUGCGUUGAGCUAACCGGUACUAAUGAACCGUGAGGCUUAACCUU